Molecule: ribosomal RNA, 254 nt
Filed under: uncultured bacterium
Lineage: Bacteria
Description: partial 16S ribosomal RNA
Rfam family: Bacterial small subunit ribosomal RNA
Source: RNAcentral
UACGUAGGGGGCAAGCGUUGUCCGGAUUCAUUGGGCGUAAAGAGCUCGUAGGCGGUUCGGCAAGUCGGGUGUGAAAACUCCAGGCUCAACCUGGAGACGCCACCCGAUACUGCUGUGACUUGAGUCCGGUAGGGGACCACGGAAUUCCUGGUGUAGCGGUGAAAUGCGCAGAUAUCAGGAGGAACACCGGUGGCGAAGGCGGUUCUCUGGGCCUUACCUGACGCUGAGGAGCGAAAGCGUGGGGAGCGAACAGG